CAACCAGACUCCUACGGGAGGCAGCAGUAGGGAAUAUUGCACAAUGGGCGCAAGCCUGAUGCAGCCAUGCCGCGUGUAUGAAGAAGGCCUUCGGGUUGUAAAGUACUUUCAGCGGGGAGGAAGGUGUUGUGGUUAAUAACCACAGCAAUUGACGUUACCCGCAGAAGAAGCACCGGCUAACUCCGUGCCAGCAGCCGCGGUAAUACGUAGGGUGCGAGCGUUAAUCGGAAUUACUGGGCGUAAAGGGUGUGCAGGCGGCUGAGUAAGACAGAUGUGAAAUCCCCGGGCUCAACCUGGGAACUGCAUUCGAAACUGGCAGGCUGGAGUCUUGUAGAGGGGGGUAGAAUUCCAGGUGUAGCGGUGAAAUGCGUAGAGAUCUGGAGGAAUACCGGUGGCGAAGGCGGCCCCCUGGACAAAGACUGACGCUCAGGUGCGAAAGCGUGGGGAGCAAACAGGAUUAGAUACCCCAGUACGC
RNAcentral lists this ribosomal RNA (475 nucleotides) under uncultured bacterium. Its description in RNAcentral is "bacterial SSU rRNA". It matches the Rfam family "Bacterial small subunit ribosomal RNA", at positions 328 to 794 of the family's 1533-position model. The record is from RNAcentral.